RNAcentral lists this ribosomal RNA (2018 nucleotides) under Omalodera limbata. RNAcentral's name for it is "SSU rRNA". It matches the Rfam family "Eukaryotic small subunit ribosomal RNA". The record is from RNAcentral. Lineage: Eukaryota; Metazoa; Arthropoda; Insecta; Coleoptera; Carabidae.
AGUCAUAUGCUUGUCUCAAAGAUUAAGCCAUGCAUGUCUCAGUACAAGCCAUAUUAAGGUGAAACCGCGAAAGGCUCAUUAAAUCAGUUAUGGUUCCUUAGAUUGUACCCACAUUUACUUGGAUAACUGUGGUAAUUCUAGAGCUAAUACAUGCAAACAGAGCUCCAACCAGAGAUGGAAGGAGUGCUUUUAUUAGAUCAAAACCAAUCGGCGGCAAUAAAGUUUCGGCUUUAUUGUUUGUCGCAUUUUUUGGUGAUUCUGAAUAACUUUUGGCUGAUCGCACGGUCUAGCACCGGCGACGCAUCUUUCAAAUGUCUGCCUUAUCAACUGUCGAUGGUAGGUUCUGCGCCUACCAUGGUUGUAACGGGUAACGGGGAAUUAGGGUUCGAUUCCGGAGAGGGAGCCUGAGAAACGGCUACCACAUCCAAGGAAGGCAGCAGGCGCGCAAAUUACCCACUCCCGGCACGGGGAGGUAGUGACGAAAAAUAACGAUACGGGACUCAUCCGAGGCCCCGUAAUCGGAAUGAGUACACUUUAAAUCCUUUAACAAGGACCAAUUGAAGGGAAAGUCUGGUGCCAGCAGCCGCGGUAAUUCCAGCUUCAAUAGCGUAUAUUAAAGUUGUUGCGGUUAAAAAGCUCGUAGUUGAAUUUGUGUCCCGCGCUGUCGGUUCACCGCCCGCGGUGUUUAACUGGCACGUCUCGCGGGACGUCCUGCCGGUGGAUGUGUACAUUCAUUCCACUUCCUAUAUGUUGUAUUACAUUUCGGUGUUUAUAUUAACAUAUUGUGUAUGGGGUUUGUUAUGUUACCAUCCGACUAAUUAAUCCUGUCGCGGUGCUCUUAAUUGAGUGUCGAGGCGGGCCGGCACAUUUACUUUGAACAAAUUAGAGUGCUCAAAGCAGGCUAAAAUUUUGCCUGAAUAUCUUGUGCAUGGAAUAAUGGAAGAGGACCUCGGUUCUAUUUUGUUGGUUUUAGGAACCCCGAGGUAAUGAUUAAUAGGGACAGAUGGGGGCAUUCGUAUUGCGACGUUAGAGGUGAAAUUCUUGGAUCGUCGCAAGACGGACAGAAGCGAAAGCAUUUGCCAAAAAUGUUUUCAUUAAUCAAGAACGAAAGUCAGAGGUUCGAAGGCGAUCAGAUACCGCCCUAGUUCUGACCAUAAACGAUGCCAGCUAGCGAUCCGCCGACGUUCCUCCGAUGACUCGGCGGGCAGCUUCCGGGAAACCAAAGCUUUUGGGUUCCGGGGGAAGUAUGGUUGCAAAGCUGAAACUUAAAGGAAUUGACGGAAGGGCACCACAAGGAGUGGAGCCUGCGGCUUAAUUUGACUCAACACGGGAAACCUCACCAGGCCCGGACACCGGAAGGAUUGACAGAUUGAGAGCUCUUUCUUGAUUCGGUGCAUGGUGGUGCAUGGCCGUUCUUAGUUGGUGGAGUGAUUUGUCUGGUUAAUUCCGAUAACGAGCGAGACUCUAGCCUGCUAACUAGGCGUAACUUACCAGUAUCCUGAAGGCUCGUGUCUUUUGUUUACUUUCAUAUAUUCGUUUCUGAGUUAUGGUAUUUUCAUUUUUAAUGUUAUAUUAUGGCUUGGUACAAUAUAUGUUAAGGGCAAAAGUUCACGGUUUUUACUACUGGCGUACAUAUAAAUCUUCUUAGAGGGACAGGCGGCUGCUAGCCGCACGAGAUUGAGCAAUAACAGGUCUGUGAUGCCCUUAGAUGUUCUGGGCCGCACGCGCGCUACACUGAAGGAAUCAGCGUGUCUUCCCUGGCCGAGCGGCCCGGGUAACCCGCUGAACCUCCUUCGUGCUAGGGAUUGGGGCUUGCAAUUGUUCCCCAUGAACGAGGAAUUCCCAGUAAGCGCGAGUCAUAAACUCGCGUUGAUUAAGUCCCUGCCCUUUGUACACACCGCCCGUCGCUAGUACCGAUUGAAUGAUUUAGUGAGGUCUUCGGACUGGUACGCGGUAACGUUUCGACGUCGCCGAUGUUGCUGGGAAGAUGACCAAACUUGAUUAUUUAGAGGAACUAA